RNAcentral lists this transfer RNA (77 nucleotides) under Terasakiella brassicae. RNAcentral's name for it is "tRNA-His". It matches the Rfam family "tRNA". From Rfam's summary of the family: Transfer RNA (tRNA) molecules are approximately 80 nucleotides in length. Lineage: Bacteria; Pseudomonadati; Pseudomonadota; Alphaproteobacteria; Rhodospirillales; Terasakiellaceae. The record is from RNAcentral. RNAcentral also lists the same sequence under 2 other names.
GCGAUUGUAGCUCAGUUGGUUAGAGCACCGGUUUGUGGUACCGGGGGUCGUGGGUUCAAGUCCCAUCAGUCGCCCCA